This 75-nucleotide transfer RNA is filed under the name Ruminococcus sp. AF14-10. RNAcentral describes it as "tRNA-Asn". It matches the Rfam family "tRNA". Rfam says of the family: Transfer RNA (tRNA) molecules are approximately 80 nucleotides in length. Their secondary structure includes four short double-helical elements and three loops (D, anti-codon, and T loops). Lineage: Bacteria; Bacillati; Bacillota; Clostridia; Eubacteriales; Oscillospiraceae. RNAcentral also lists the same sequence under 1 other name. The record is from RNAcentral.
UCCUCGAUAGCUCAGCGGUAGAGCAUUCGGCUGUUAACCGAAGGGUCGUUGGUUCGAACCCAACUCGGGGAGCUA